This 428-nucleotide ribosomal RNA is filed under the name uncultured cyanobacterium. RNAcentral describes it as "bacterial SSU rRNA". It matches the Rfam family "Bacterial small subunit ribosomal RNA", at positions 352 to 795 of the family's 1533-position model. Lineage: Bacteria; Bacillati; Cyanobacteriota. The record is from RNAcentral.
CCCUUGGGGAUUUUCCGCAAUGGGCGAAAGCCUGACGGAGCAACGCCGCGUGAGGGAUGAAGGCCUCUGGGCUGUAAACCUCUUUUUUCAAGGAAGAAGAUCUGACGGUACUUGAAGAAUAAGCCACGGCUAAUUCCGUGCCAGCAGCCGCGGUAAUACGGGAGUGGCAAGCGUUAUCCGGAAUUAUUGGGCGUAAAGCGUCCGCAGGCGGCCUUGUAAGUCUGUUGUUAAAGCGUGGAGCUUAACUCCAUUUAAGCAAUGGAAACUGCAAGGCUUGAGUGUGGUAGGGGCAGAGGGAAUUCCCGGUGUAGCGGUGAAAUGCGUAGAUAUCGGGAAGAACACCAGUGGCGAAGGCGCUCUGCUGGGCCAUAACUGACGCUCAUGGACGAAAGCCAGGGGAGCGAAAGGGAUUAGAUACCCCUGUAGUC